GAUGAACGCUAGCUACAGGCUUAACACAUGCAAGUCGAGGGGCAGCAUGAAAGGAACUUCGGUUCUUUUUGAUGGCGACCGGCGCACGGGUGCGUAACGCGUAUCGAACCUGCCUCAUACUCGGGGAUAGCCUUGCGAAAGUAAGAUUAAUACCCGGCGGUCUCGGAUGGCCGCAUGACUGCCCGAGUGAAGAUUUAUCGGUAUGAGAUGGCGAUGCGUCCCAUUAGCUUGUUGGUGAGGUAAUGGCUCACCAAGGCAUCGAUGGGUAGGGGUUCUGAGAGGAAGGUCCCCCACAUUGGAACUGAGACACGGUCCAA
RNAcentral lists this ribosomal RNA (317 nucleotides) under uncultured bacterium. RNAcentral describes it as "bacterial SSU rRNA". It matches the Rfam family "Bacterial small subunit ribosomal RNA", at positions 28 to 334 of the family's 1533-position model. The record is from RNAcentral.